UCGUGUUUGCGAAGUUUGUAUUUUGUUGUUGUCAUUGAUUCUUCAAGAUUUGUAUUGUAAUAGGGUUAAGAUAGGGUGAUGAACUGCACUACUAUUUUUUGUGGUUGGUGGGUGUAUAGGCAGGAUAGUUUAUAUUGUUGGGUUUAUUUGAUUUUGUAUUUGUUUACAAAUAAUGUUCAUUCUCCCAAAUUUGUAGAUAUUUGUGUUAUUUUUUUUUUGUAAUUUGUAAUUGGCUGUAACUUGUGUAAAAAUUGGUGUAAGUGGUUGUUGUGCCGUAACAGGAAUUUUUUUAUAGAAAGUCAACAUUUGAUGGUGAUAUUGCGUCCUUUGUGUGGGUUGGAAGCGAUUUCUGAAUUUCCUGAUAUGCAUGUGUUUGAUUGUAUUAUUUGUUGGAGUAAUAUAUUAAGUUCGGAUCUAUCUGUAUUUGUUUUUAUAAUCAGCUGUGAAUAUGUAAUGCAUUUUUGAUAGUCCAUUUUGUAUUGAUAAAAACUGUUUUCUUUUUCUUGCAAAAUUAACUUUAGACAUAUAAUGGAUGUUUGCAUUAGAAUUUCUCUGAUCUUUGAUUUACAACAUCUGAUUGGUACAAUUAUAAAAAUAGCCAUAGAGCUCGAGCAUGAUUCACCAUUUUCUCCUAUUUUGAUGUUCAAUUGUUUUCGUGUCUUCAUUUUUUUAACUGACAUAAAGCCAUCAAACAAAAAUAGCAAGCAAUAUUUUCUUAUAUAGGUGAGAACUGAGAAGGGAAGGACAAUCAGGGAACAUCUCUUGUCCAUAAGAGAUUCAGAUUCCCUCAAGGCCUCAAGACAGUGUUGAACUUUACGCUGAGAAGGUUGUCAACAGAGGUCUCUGUGCCAUUGCCUAGGCGGAGUCUCUACGUUACAAGAUCCUCGGUGGUCGCCGUUUGCAGAUUCGUCAUGAAGAGUGGAGCUAAGGGAUGUGAGAUCAUUGUAUGUGGAAAGCUUCGGGCAGCACGUGCCAAAUCCAUGAAUUUCAAAUCCUUUGAAAGCUUCAACCAGAACUUGACCGUCUACUUAUCUUUAAUUGUUUUCUCUCCCAACUCAAGUUAAAAAAUAAAAAAACAUUCAUGAAAGUCCACAAUUAAUAAUUAUUGAAUCACAUUUAAUAUUUUCGGAAAAAAUGAACAUAAACAACAAAAUAUAACCUAAUAAAUUUGCUAGAAGUAUCCCAAAACAAUUUGAAUGGUAUAAAUUGCAUAUGUAAAAUUAUUGUAUCUAAUAAAAUAUCUACAAUUUAGUCAUCUUCUUUUUCAAUGAGUAAAUAUAUACGACAUUUUUUCUUUGGACAAAAUAGAUACGAUAUUGUAAAACAAAACCUAUAUAUUAUUGACAUCCUAAAAAAUAUACACCAUACAUUAGCACAUACAGGAAAACGAAUGGGGUUAACAUGUUUAAACCAUUUUAAAACUUAGAAAUAUACAUAUUUAAAACAUGCCGCCGAGGAAUUACAAUUAUUAGAAGGAUAUGACGUCAAAAAAUGUGACAAAAAGUUUUAAACAAAUAACAUCAAUUUAUAAAUAAUUGUAAAGCAAUAAAAUUGACAAGAACCUUUGGCAUUUAACAAGACUGGAUACUGGUUACUGAUAUCUAUGGCUUUUUAGAAAUUUAUUAACUAAUACGAAACACGGCAUAUCGGUUCAGUUUAUAUGUCAUAGAUUAUUGAAUACAACAAGCCCCCGACCCCGCGCUUGCGCGGGGGCUAUACCCCUAGUUAUACUAAACAUAAUAGAAUGAAAACAUAAUAAAUUUAUUUCUACAGAAAGAUAAAAAAAAACACUAAAUUAGGCAAAAAGAAUAUAUCAGUAACAUAUAUAUAUAUCACUCUCCUAGCAAACCUAAAACUGAUCGACAGAAUCCGCAGCUAGCCUCAUUGUAACCUAACCACCAACCUUUUGACUUGAGGAAGACGAGUCGUCGCUGGAGAAUAUAUUAAGGAGAUUAGUCAGAGUGGUGUACGAAUGGAGGAGCUGGAUGUAAGUAUUACUUCCUUCUUAGGAGUUGAUGUUAUUCAAAUUGUUAUCAAUGAUUGUGAUUGUUUUUUCUUUUCUGGAGAUGAAAUUUACGAAACUUAAAAGCCCUUCGUCACUGAUUGAUUGUUUUUCUGAUGUGGCUAUUGUUAGUUUUUCGAGAACCCGGACGAGUUUCCACCAGGACGUGGUCGCUAUCGCCUGGUACAUGUAAAAUGUACUGGAAGGCGUGCAUACACUAACGAUGCCUUGGUGAAGCUUUAUGCCAAGCUCGGCCUUCAUCGCUACAACUGGCUAGAGGUAUAAACAAACAAACAAACAAACUAAACUAGUAUGUUGUUUUUUUAAUGUAGCUCGACGAUAGCUUUUUUAAAGAGUUUCAUUUGUUUCUAAUUUGUUGCAGGGGACAAACUUUGAAGUAGAUAGCUUGAUGAAAUUCAACAUGGGUAGUGCUGCAUCUCCUUACUACAUGACCUUGGUUGCGCGCCUUCCAUCUAGCGGUUUUCAGCAGAUCUUUCAGGUUCUCGUAGAGUAAGAACAUCUUGGCAUUUUAGAUUUGACAUGCCCCAUCUCUAGACCUCAAGGUAAAGGUUGCUUUGUUGAUCCAUUUAAUCAAUUUCACUACUUUUUAAUUUGCUGACUAUAUUUGACAUAUCUCAUAGGGACCAAGAGUUCAAAGAAAGAGUCAACUCCUUUCUUACGUCCACAUUCCGAGCCAGUGUCUACAAACUACCAAGACAGAUUGGAUAAUUGGGCCUUGUCAAUAAUUCCAUGGCCCUUCUCUGAGAUUGGUUUCAGUGACACAAAGCGUUUUUACAUGUUGAAUGAAUCUGAGUUGCAAUGUGAUUGGAUAUCGUUGUAUGUGGAACUUGCAAUCUGUACUUCCCAUAGGUGGUUUAAAGCUGUAAGUUUUAUGUUCUCCCACUUUGCCUAUCAAUAACAUAUUUGUUGAUGUAUCAAUAACAUACAUGGUGAUAAUGCAAAAUCUUGUUGAUGCAGAAGGAUCUCUCCAACUUUGAGUUGGAGAUUGUCCAAGUGGCCAUAGAAUCUCUUGAUGAUAAGGAGCCCCCAAGUCUCAAUUCUAAAGCCGCUGUCAUCUACAUAGCAUACAAGGACUUGGCCAAGGCUAGGACUGGUGAGCCUUAUCACUACCAAGCUGUGGUGAGAAGAGUCAUCAACCAGGCUACGGGAACACUGAGCAUCCAAGGUGAUUGCUGGAUUUCAGAAGCAGCAGCAACGGCUUCGGCGGCUGAAAGCUUAAGCUUAGGGGUCGCUUAGGACCUCAUAAGCUGUGGAGGUUGUCUAGUCCUAGGUGGUAUCAGACGUACAAGAACCGUGGCCUCCGCUCUUCCCCUAUUUAGUAAUUUAAAGACAUUUGAAAGAUGCGUAGUAACUCUUAUGUAUUGUGUGCUUUUGGUCUCUCGUGUUUAACUAGUAUUACUUAUUAGCGAUGACUGCUUUUUGGACUCUAUUUUAUGCUUUUGGUCUCUCUCUCUCUUUAAGACAUUUGAAAGAUGUUUGUCGGAUGGUUCUCUUAUGUAUUGUGUGCUUUUUUGUCUUUUUCUUAUGUAUCCUGUGUUUUGUGAUGAACUUGAUACCACUGAUAAUCAUUUACAACACAAGAGAUCAAGGGUCUGCAUUAUAGAAGGUGAUGAUGAUCGCGAGUUAGUAGAACCUGAUGUUCUUGUUGAAGACACGAAGGGACAAAAGGCUCACUUUUAUAGUAGAGAAUUUGGUAUGCAUUUGAAACAGUUCUGAAACAUAAGUUGACUUUGGUAUGCUAAUGCGGCUCAACAUAAGUUGCUGAUUCAAAGCAGAGGAACAGUUCUGAAACAGGAGAACACUGAAGAUCAUAUGAUUGUUCUAUGGUCUAGAGCCGGCAUAAAGCAUAUUUGGUUUACUGAUGGACCGUAUCUAAUCUUGCAGAUGGAAGUAACCUUGGGUUGUAGCAGUAUAUUGAGGAUCGGGUUAUGAAGAUCUCCGUUUAAAGCUGCUCACAUACCUGAUAAAUUACAGAACAGACCAGAAUGUGUGUUGCAGGAACUCUAUCAGUCUAGCAGAUGGUCAUUCUCGUAAAACAAGAUGCCUCAAAAUGUGUCUGCUAUCAUGAGGUUGGAUUGCGCAGAUCCAGUGUUCAACGUUAUGCCUCACCGAGAAGAACUGCUGAGAAUUAGGAGAAGCCAGAAGCUGUUAAAGUCUUGGCAAUUCAAGUUCAAAUUCAUGUCUCAUACACUUACAUUACCGGGUAACAUCACUUUCUUAAGGAAACAAGGAGUUCCGAAUCCAUCACAAGUUAUGUUUGUGAACUUGAAUGGAGGGAGAUAGUCAGACACUUUUGGAUGGAACGGCUAAGCAUUGCGAGGUAUUAUUUGAGAAGUUUGGCUCAAUAGACUCAUCUUACAAGGCUUGUUUACUGCUGAAUUUGAUUUAUUUGGAGUUCAUUGGAGAAGGAGUUGUUAGUUUCAGGUUUAACCAAGGAUGUUGAGUUAGAAGCAGCUUCAGAAAGAGGAGUUUUGUUUCAAAUGCCAUUGAAAGAGUGAACAUGAUUAUAUGGUUCUAAUGCUGCUAGAACAGGUCAAGAACAGAGCUUCCCAUGUCAUGGAUCAUACCUUUUUCAAUGAUAUUUGCAGGAUCCGAAAGACAAGCUUUUGUAUGUGUGGCAUCCUUGGAAGAACAAGGAGAAGAUGAUGAAAUCUGAAACUUUCUGUUCUAAUGUGAGGGCAAAACACGUCAUGGUACUCAGACAGUGGAAGAGUUUUGUGAAGAUGUUGAUUUUGAUUGGAGUGAUCGCCAUAUUCUUAUUGCUGAGACGAAUUGACCAGGGAGGGAUCUCUGUUACUGGCUGCUUCAGUUAAAAUUUGCAAAUAGAGCUACAAAGACAAUAGAGCUACAAAAUUUGCAAGCUUGUUCUUGGCUGCUUCAGUUAUCUUCACCAAUAAAUAGAGCUACGAAGACAAUAGUAAUGUCAGCACAAAAGUUUCUAAGUUGGUUAAUUAUUUUUCUCCUUUUUUCUCAGUCUACUGGUAAUAUUUUCUUCCUAUAUUAUUCAUAUAUAUAGAGCAGAGAAUGCUACAUAAAACGUUAUUUCAUAUUUACUUAUACUGUUUCCAAUCAAUUUUCCAGCAAACAGAUGUGUGUACAGAAGUCCUUGUAAAAUUAAUGACGAUUGCAAGAAGAUAUUCACUUUCCCUGGGGAUGAUCGAUCUUACUUAAGUUGCCUGACUUCCCCCCCCCCCCCCAUUAAACAGACAAUGUUGUUGUAAAGUAAACACUCAAACCAAGGAAAUAUAGUCUUGUUAUAGAAGAAUACAUAUUCAUAAAUUUGUUGCAUUGCUUGUCAUCUAUCUAUAAUAAAACAGAGUUUUCUCUCACCUUAGCUCUCCACGUCCAUCUUUAGGGGUGGGCAUUUGUUGACACGUGUCGCCAUUUAAUUGGCUGCGUUUUUUUACUUGUGUUUGAGUUUUUGCUUUACACUUGCGUAAUGGGCUUGAGAAAACAAUUCAAGCCUAUUGUAAAAUUAAUUUUCCUCGCCUUCUCGCAUAAGACCCUGGUAUUUUAUCAGACGAAAGUUCCAGAAAACUCAAAACGUCGAUUGCUUCUCCGUAACGUCUCCUCCUUGCAUUGAUACGUUCUUUACUCCCAACUUCUGCGUGAUUAACCCACUCUUCCCACUCUGCAUCAUUCAAUUGACCUCAUCGAUGAAGCUUCGAGUACAAAUAUCCCAUCUUCCAGCGAUGAAAAACACAACUUUGACUUAGCGGUUUCGGCUUAAAUCGGCAUGACGUCCCUCUCGCAGGUUAUGUAUCAGAGCCUUCUUUUUCAUCUGUUUAGAGUUUGGAAGAUGAUUAUUUGUUUUUUUUGUUCUUGGUUUCAUAGAUGUUACUAGAUAAGCAAGCCAUGAAGACAAUUCUUCUAAAAAUUCUUUCCCUUGCCAGAUAGGUUAGCCAUCUCAUAAUACCAAUUUACAGAUAUGUAGCUCCGCUGGUGUCUCUGUUUUCUAAAAAAAAAAUUGUUAUUGAUGUUAUCUGAGCAUGAAGCAUUUUGGUAUCAUAAUGCCUUUGCUAAAAAAAACACAGUUGGUAUCAUAAAGUAUUCGGGUUUCAGUAUGCUAUUGUAUAUACUUUAGCCUUUUAAAUCUGAAGUUUGUGAUAAUUGCAGACGACUUCAACUGCUGCCAGCUACUGGGAAUUUGUGAGCGUGAAAUAAGCAGAGCUAAAGCACUUCUUAAGAUUCAGUGGCAGACACUUAUCAUGCAUUGUUUCCAGAAGGAACUCCCAUGGAGUUUCAACGCAUCUUGGAACUCAAAGUGAUUUUAAUUCCCAGAUUCUCUAAUAACCAAUUAGCUUGAAGGCAGAGUCCUGUCUACAAUAUCAUCUAUUUGAAAGUCAUGUUACAUUCUCACGUGACUGAGUCUAGAUAAAAAGGACCAUGGCACCAUCUUUAACACAUAGAUAUGUAUAUAUAAAUAUUUGGAUUGCCGGACACUAACUCUGAAACAUUUUGUGGUGUUGAUGCAGGGUCUUAAGAAAGCUGAUCAGCAGAUCAUACUCGAUGAUUUCAACAAGUAUGGCCCAGGGUUGACAUAACCCUCUGUUUCAGGGGCAAUGCCACAAGUGGUUCCAAUUUACCUGCACUGCUGCUGGUAAUCACUAAUCCGGGUAUAGCAGAUGGGUUUAUAGCAAGCAAAGAUGUGUUAAUGAGGGAGCAGCUCUUGGCAGAGGAGCUGCAACCUCUGGCUUUAAUAAGUUCAUUGAACUUACCGAAGCAGCCAAAGACCUCAAAGAUGGAAGUUUAUCACAGUGAAUGCUUAACUCAUUCUCUCUCUCUCUCCUUUAAUAGGACAAACAAACAUUCUUCACCUGGCUUAAACCAGGCUCAUCAGCGACUGCAGUAGGAGCUUGAAAGCUCCAUCUCUUGAGUUUCCAGAGUACAUCAAACAGAGAGGAUAUGAUCUCCAUGAUGUUCAAGCAUAUUUGAAGGUUUUUUUCCUUUGUCAAUGAUAUGUGUUUUUUUGUGUGUCAAAACCCUUUGUCAAACUCUAAUUCCUGUAACACAAAUAUUCAUUGUAUAUGCUAUAAAGACGCAUGCUUUAGUGAUAUGAUAUCAUAUGACUGUAUUUUGAUCAGGUGAUCUAAUGAAUUUAAUGUUUGGAAACA
Long non-coding RNA from Brassica napus (rape), 7137 nucleotides. RefSeq lists it as uncharacterized. The transcript has 4 exons. The record is from RefSeq and is a predicted model, not a curated record. NCBI's taxonomy places the organism in Eukaryota, Viridiplantae, Streptophyta, Magnoliopsida, Brassicales, Brassicaceae.